Molecule: ribosomal RNA, 395 nt
Filed under: Salmonella enterica subsp. enterica serovar Panama
Lineage: Bacteria; Pseudomonadati; Pseudomonadota; Gammaproteobacteria; Enterobacterales; Enterobacteriaceae
Description: partial 23S ribosomal RNA
Rfam family: Bacterial large subunit ribosomal RNA
Source: RNAcentral
GAGGUUAAGCGACUAAGCGUACACGGUGGAUGCCCUGGCAGUCAGAGGCGAUGAAGGACGUGCUAAUCUGCGAUAAGCGCCGGUAAGGUGAUAUGAACCGUUAUAACCGGCGAUUUCCGAAUGGGGAAACCCAGUGUGACUCGUCACACUAUCAUUAACUGAAUCCAUAGGUUAAUGAGGCGAACCGGGGGAACUGAAACAUCUAAGUACCCCGAGGAAAAGAAAUCAACCGAGAUUCCCCCAGUAGCGGCGAGCGAACGGGGAGGAGCCCAGAGCCUGAAUCAGCAUGUGUGUUAGUGGAAGCGUCUGGAAAGGCGCGCGAUACAGGGUGACAGCCCCGUACACAAAAGCGCAUGUGCUGUGAGCUCGAUGAGUAGGGCGGGACACGUGGUAUC